CAUUGUUUAUUAAUUAUUAUCCUUUUAUCUCUAGGACAGAAUUUGGAGACGUCUAUAUUCUAGUUACUUUUUGUAGAAGUUAAUUUAGCACUUCUAUAUGAUAUUGGUUGUUGCUAUCAUUCGACUCUUCAUUUACUUGGCUUUCUAAAUUUUUUUAAGCAUAUGUGGGCCAUGCACCCGUAAUUAUGGUGGCAAAAAUAUUCCUCUAGUUGAUCCAAACUCAGACUUUUGCAAUACUUCAAGUCAACCAAGUCUUGCUUUCAUUUUCUCUGCAACUGUGUGAUGAAUAAUAGUGAUAUAUCUAACAAAAAGUCACUCCCGCCUUUGAUCUUUACUUGUCUACAAUUCAAAAAAUAAAUGGCCUAAAAUACUUGUUCAGUGGGUGUAGUUGCAUUGGAACCGAGACUAAUUUGAAUCCGUGCUAUGCAAGGCCAAUUAAUGGGGUUUCCACAUCUAGCAUGCGAACCUGAGAUCUGUAAUUAAAAGAGGACUUAUAUGAUCCAUCCCACCUCAAACCUUGACGGUCCAAACUCCAAUUACAUUUGUGACACGGCAAGUCAACUCUCAUUCAAAUGACACAUCCAUUUUCACAUUCAAGCAAUCAAAUUUGUAUAAUUGGAAUCAACCAAGUCUUGCAAACCGUAAUUGUGGCGGCAAGUUUAUUCCACUAAUCAGCCCAAAUUCCAAAGAUUUCUGCAAGAUUAGCCAGCAACUCUCUAGCUCUUAUGCUAAGCACCCCGAAGGACCAUGAACACAUUUCUGGCCAACUAGUGAACAUGAAUAAAUCUUGCUAUUUGGUGGCUCCAAAAACUGACGCUGAUAGAAUUGAGGAAUUAAACCAACUCAUUGGUGUAGGUGGUAAAGGUUCUUCCAUGUGAUCAGGAGGUAACGGGUUCGAGCCGGGGAAACGGUCUCUUACAAAUAUGCAAGGUAUGGCUAUGUACGAUAAACCCUUUCUUUGAACUUUGUGCACCAGGCUGCCCUUUUAUUGGCUUCAACAACAAUUACUUUCCUCAUGAAUCUGUUAUAGUUCUAUGAGCUUAUG
Molecule: long non-coding RNA, 1045 nt
Organism: Capsicum annuum
Lineage: Eukaryota; Viridiplantae; Streptophyta; Magnoliopsida; Solanales; Solanaceae
Exons: 3
Source: RefSeq, a predicted model, not a curated record